Molecule: ribosomal RNA, 2921 nt
Filed under: Staphylococcus aureus DAR1890
Lineage: Bacteria; Bacillati; Bacillota; Bacilli; Caryophanales; Staphylococcaceae
Description: bacterial LSU rRNA
Rfam family: Bacterial large subunit ribosomal RNA
Source: RNAcentral
UUAAGUUAUUAAGGGCGCACGGUGGAUGCCUUGGCACUAGAAGCCGAUGAAGGACGUUACUAACGACGAUAUGCUUUGGGGAGCUGUAAGUAAGCUUUGAUCCAGAGAUUUCCGAAUGGGGAAACCCAGCAUGAGUUAUGUCAUGUUAUCGAUAUGUGAAUACAUAGCAUAUCAGAAGGCACACCCGGAGAACUGAAACAUCUUAGUACCCGGAGGAAGAGAAAGAAAAUUCGAUUCCCUUAGUAGCGGCGAGCGAAACGGGAAGAGCCCAAACCAAAAAGCUUGCUUGUUGGGGUUGUAGGACACUCUAUACGGAGUUACAAAGGACGACAUUAGACGAAUCAUCUGGAAAGAUGAAUCAAAGAAGGUAAUAAUCCUGUAGUCGAAAAUGUUGUCUCUCUUGAGUGGAUCCUGAGUACGACGGAGCACGUGAAAUUCCGUCGGAAUCUGGGAGGACCAUCUCCUAAGGCUAAAUACUCUCUAGUGACCGAUAGUGAACCAGUACCGUGAGGGAAAGGUGAAAAGCACCCCGGAAGGGGAGUGAAAUAGAACCUGAAACCGUGUGCUUACAAGUAGUCAGAGCCCGUUAAUGGGUGAUGGCGUGCCUUUUGUAGAAUGAACCGGCGAGUUACGAUUUGAUGCAAGGUUAAGCAGUAAAUGUGGAGCCGUAGCGAAAGCGAGUCUGAAUAGGGCGUUUAGUAUUUGGUCGUAGACCCGAAACCAGGUGAUCUACCCUUGGUCAGGUUGAAGUUCAGGUAACACUGAAUGGAGGACCGAACCGACUUACGUUGAAAAGUGAGCGGAUGAACUGAGGGUAGCGGAGAAAUUCCAAUCGAACCUGGAGAUAGCUGGUUCUCUCCGAAAUAGCUUUAGGGCUAGCCUCAAGUGAUGAUUAUUGGAGGUAGAGCACUGUUUGGACGAGGGGCCCCUCUCGGGUUACCGAAUUCAGACAAACUCCGAAUGCCAAUUAAUUUAACUUGGGAGUCAGAACAUGGGUGAUAAGGUCCGUGUUCGAAAGGGAAACAGCCCAGACCACCAGCUAAGGUCCCAAAAUAUAUGUUAAGUGGAAAAGGAUGUGGCGUUGCCCAGACAACUAGGAUGUUGGCUUAGAAGCAGCCAUCAUUUAAAGAGUGCGUAAUAGCUCACUAGUCGAGUGACACUGCGCCGAAAAUGUACCGGGGCUAAACAUAUUACCGAAGCUGUGGAUUGUCCUUUGGACAAUGGUAGGAGAGCGUUCUAAGGGCGUUGAAGCAUGAUCGUAAGGACAUGUGGAGCGCUUAGAAGUGAGAAUGCCGGUGUGAGUAGCGAAAGACGGGUGAGAAUCCCGUCCACCGAUUGACUAAGGUUUCCAGAGGAAGGCUCGUCCGCUCUGGGUUAGUCGGGUCCUAAGCUGAGGCCGACAGGCGUAGGCGAUGGAUAACAGGUUGAUAUUCCUGUACCACCUAUAAUCGUUUUAAUCGAUGGGGGGACGCAGUAGGAUAGGCGAAGCGUGCGAUUGGAUUGCACGUCUAAGCAGUAAGGCUGAGUAUUAGGCAAAUCCGGUACUCGUUAAGGCUGAGCUGUGAUGGGGAGAAGACAUUGAGUCUUCGAGUCGUUGAUUUCACACUGCCGAGAAAAGCCUCUAGAUAGAAAAUAGGUGCCCGUACCGCAAACCGACACAGGUAGUCAAGAUGAGAAUUCUAAGGUGAGCGAGCGAACUCUCGUUAAGGAACUCGGCAAAAUGACCCCGUAACUUCGGGAGAAGGGGUGCUCUUUAGGGUUAACGCCCAGAAGAGCCGCAGUGAAUAGGCCCAAGCGACUGUUUAUCAAAAACACAGGUCUCUGCUAAACCGUAAGGUGAUGUAUAGGGGCUGACGCCUGCCCGGUGCUGGAAGGUUAAGAGGAGUGGUUAGCUUCUGCGAAGCUACGAAUCGAAGCCCCAGUAAACGGCGGCCGUAACUAUAACGGUCCUAAGGUAGCGAAAUUCCUUGUCGGGUAAGUUCCGACCCGCACGAAAGGCGUAACGAUUUGGGCACUGUCUCAACGAGAGACUCGGUGAAAUCAUAGUACCUGUGAAGAUGCAGGUUACCCGCGACAGGACGGAAAGACCCCGUGGAGCUUUACUGUAGCCUGAUAUUGAAAUUCGGCACAGCUUGUACAGGAUAGGUAGGAGCCUUUGAAACGUGAGCGCUAGCUUACGUGGAGGCGCUGGUGGGAUACUACCCUAGCUGUGUUGGCUUUCUAACCCGCACCACUUAUCGUGGUGGGAGACAGUGUCAAGCGGGCAGUUUGACUGGGGCGGUCGCCUCCUAAAAGGUAACGGAGGCGCUCAAAGGUUCCCUCAGAAUGGUUGGAAAUCAUUCAUAGAGUGUAAAGGCAUAAGGGAGCUUGACUGCGAGACCUACAAGUCGAGCAGGGUCGAAAGACGGACUUAGUGAUCCGGUGGUUCCGCAUGGAAGGGCCAUCGCUCAACGGAUAAAAGCUACCCCGGGGAUAACAGGCUUAUCUCCCCCAAGAGUUCACAUCGACGGGGAGGUUUGGCACCUCGAUGUCGGCUCAUCGCAUCCUGGGGCUGUAGUCGGUCCCAAGGGUUGGGCUGUUCGCCCAUUAAAGCGGUACGCGAGCUGGGUUCAGAACGUCGUGAGACAGUUCGGUCCCUAUCCGUCGUGGGCGUAGGAAAUUUGAGAGGAGCUGUCCUUAGUACGAGAGGACCGGGAUGGACAUACCUCUGGUGUACCAGUUGUCGUGCCAACGGCAUAGCUGGGUAGCUAUGUGUGGACGGGAUAAGUGCUGAAAGCAUCUAAGCAUGAAGCCCCCCUCAAGAUGAGAUUUCCCAACUUCGGUUAUAAGAUCCCUCAAAGAUGAUGAGGUUAAUAGGUUCGAGGUGGAAGCAUAGUGACAUGUGGAGCUGACGAAUACUAAUCGAUCGAAGACUUAAUCAA